GAUGAACGCUGGCGGCGUGCCUAAUACAUGCAAGUCGAGCGAACAGACGAGGAGCUUGCUCCUCUGACGUUAGCGACGGACGGGUGAGUAACACGUGGAUAACCUACCUAUAAGACUGGGAUAACUUCGGGAAACCGGAGCUAAUACCGGAUAAUAUAUUGAACCGCAUGGUUCAAUAGUGAAAGACGGUUUUGCUGUCACUGAUAGAUGGAUCCGCGCCGCAUUAGCUAGUUGGUAAGGUAACGGCUUACCAAGGCGACGAUGCGUAGCCGACCUGAGAGGGUGAUCGGCCACACUGGAACUGAGACACGGUCCAGACUCCUACGGGAGGCAGCAGUAGGGAAUCUUCCGCAAUGGGCGAAAGCCUGACGGAGCAACGCCGCGUGAGUGAUGAAGGUCUUCGGAUCGUAAAACUCUGUUAUUAGGGAAGAACAAAUGUGUAAGUAACUAUGCACGUCUUGACGGUACCUAAUCAGAAAGCCACGGCUAACUACGUG
This 497-nucleotide ribosomal RNA is filed under the name uncultured bacterium. Its description in RNAcentral is "partial 16S ribosomal RNA". It matches the Rfam family "Bacterial small subunit ribosomal RNA", at positions 28 to 507 of the family's 1533-position model. The record is from RNAcentral.